AUGUGAUAUGAUAUGAUAUAAUAUCGUAUAAAUUAAAUAUAUAUAAAGUAUAUAUAACAUAUUAAGAAUAUAUAUAUAUAUAUAUAUAUAUAUAAUAAAAAUAUAGAGAGACUUAAAAAAAUACUUUUACAUAGAAAUACACCUAUAUAUAAAUAAAAUUUCUAUAUUUAGGAAACGGGAGCUGCCAAGGCCCAGCUGCCCCUUUUCCCCCCAUCCCCUAAAUGUCCAAAAUUGCCCUUCUUGCCCUCGCUCCUCCCGGGAAUAUCGCCAGGAUCAUCGGCUGCAUUUAAAGUCCAGCGCCGGGCAGAUCCCUCCUGGUGAGAGCAGGAAUUCCAUGGGCGAAGGAGCCCAUUGUUCCCGGAGAAUGGCACCGGGAAUGGGGAACGCUCCGCUCCCAUCCCCUGUCCCCGCGGAUUUAAGAGCGCAGGAUCCGUCAGAGCAUCCCAAACCGCGGGAUCGCGGCCCGGCGGCUUUAAGAGCCCUGGAAUGCGAUGGGAAGAGGGAGCUGCCGCCAGCUGGCACGGCCCGGAGCUCCGGAUCAAUGCCGGGAUUGUUCGGGACCACGGGAACGAGAAAGGAGAGGAACUGAGAGGGAAAACCAGCUGGAGGCACGGAGCGCAAUCCAGGCUUUCCCGGGGACAUCCAGUGGAAGAGCUGAUUACCAGGGAUAAACAUCCCGAAACAUUCGGGAUCUUUGGAUUUCACCUCUGGUGUGGCCGCCAAAGCCGAUUCCCUUAUCAGCCCUCUGCAGGCUCGGCCCCGGGGGAUCCGGAGCGCCGGGAAUGAUGGAAUUAGCACCGGGAUGAACCUCUGGAAGAUGGGGCGGGGGCCUCGGGCAGAGCAGGGGAUUUAUUGCCGGCUCGGAUCCCUGGGAGUGAAACCAAUGGAUUGAGGACACCUCGGGAGUGCCAACAAUGAACGGGGAACUGGGGAAGGAGGAGCGCCCAUGGUGCCAGGCGGGGCUGGAAGCGCCAUCCCGCAGCUCCCAGGGAUGCAGGAAUGUCCUGGGAAUGAGGGCAGGAUCCCGGAGCGCUGGGUUUGUGAUAAUUGGGAUCUAGUCUGGUUGUCCUGGAUAGAGUUGGGAAUAGAACACCCACAGCGCUGGUUGUCCAUGGCUGUUGGACAGGGAUGAGCUCCUGGCACUGCCGGACAGGGGACACCAAGGGUGACAUCACACGGUGCCACCUGGGCACAGGUGGGGAGCUGCCACACCCACAGCACUCACCUUUCCCGCCUUUGUCCCACCAUUCCCUUCCCAUUUUUGUGCUGGUUUUCCCUGAAUCCCAGAAUCCCAGAGGCUGGAAAAGCCCUCCAAGGCCGUCAAGUCCUGGCUGUGAUCAAUCCCCUCCUCGUACCCAGCCCACAGCACCCUCCAGAGUGCCACCUCCAGGAAUUCCUUGGGCAUUUCUUGAGUGAUUCCUUGGGAAUUACCCAGGGAUGGGGACUCCAAACCUCCCUGGGCAAUUCCAAUGCCUGGCCACCAUUUCCAUGAGGAAAUUCCUACCUGGAAUGGUUUUGAGGAAACAAAUGGUGCUGCUGAUGGGAGAACAGCCCCAUUCCUACCAGGAUCUAAUGGGAGAAGAGCCCCAUUCCCACUGGGAGUUAAUGGAAAAACUCCCACCGAGGAGGGAGCUGAGCUCCACGAUCCCCAGAAACAACGGAGCUGGGAUGCAGCGGAAGAGCUAAAAUUAACCCGAGAGCUCGUUAGCGAGGCGAGGGAACAUCCAAUAAAGUGACAUUUUCCUUGUAACA
Long non-coding RNA from Junco hyemalis (dark-eyed junco), 1752 nucleotides. Lineage: Eukaryota; Metazoa; Chordata; Aves; Passeriformes; Passerellidae. The record is from Ensembl.